This 253-nucleotide ribosomal RNA is filed under the name uncultured bacterium. Its description in RNAcentral is "partial 16S ribosomal RNA". It matches the Rfam family "Bacterial small subunit ribosomal RNA", at positions 524 to 776 of the family's 1533-position model. The record is from RNAcentral.
UACGUAGGGGGCAAGCGUUGUCCGGAAUCAUUGGGCGUAAAGCGCGUGUAGGCGGCUCGGUAAGUCUGCUUUGAAAGUCCAGGGCUCAACCCUGGGAUGCCGGUGGAUACUGUCGAGCUCGAGUCCGGAAGAGGCGAGUGGAAUUCCUGGUGUAGCGGUGAAAUGCGCAGAUAUCAGGAGGAACACCAAUGGCGAAGGCAGCUCGCUGGGACGUGACUGACGCUGAGACGCGAAAGCGUGGGGAGCAAACAGG